CGCUCAAACCGGGGCUCGAACCCACGACCCUGAGAUUAAGAGGCUCAUGCUCUACCGACUGAGCUAGCCAGGC
This is a non-coding RNA of Cordylochernes scorpioides, 73 nucleotides long. Lineage: Eukaryota; Metazoa; Arthropoda; Arachnida; Pseudoscorpiones; Chernetidae. The record is from the annotation of a GenBank genome assembly.